Molecule: ribosomal RNA, 966 nt
Filed under: Triticum aestivum (bread wheat)
Lineage: Eukaryota; Viridiplantae; Streptophyta; Magnoliopsida; Poales; Poaceae
Description: partial small subunit ribosomal RNA
Source: RNAcentral
AUGAAGUUUGACAUCUCCCAUUAUGCGCAACUAAGCAGCAGUGAGAUCCUCCCUGGUUACCUCAGCCAAGUACACUCCAGCCAUGAUCUUGAAGUUGAUAUGGUGAAACAAAUGCACCAAAAGUAUGAGGCUGGUACUGCUGAACUAGAAUCUCAAUUGAACGACGCAAAGACGCGGCUGGCGACUCAGGAAACUGAGACCCGGAAAGCUGAUUCAAAGUUCCAGUUUAGCUUGGCUGAGUCGGAAAAGCUGAAGACCAGUUUUGAGGCAGAGAAAAAGACUUGGGUUGAAGAAAAGACUGCUUUAACUCAGCGGGCUGAGAAGGCAGAGGCAGCUCUUGAAGAGGUGACCACUGAGCUCACUGGCUUAGAACGCCAUGUAUCUCAGAUGGUUUCUGCUAUCUUUGGUCCCAGAAGCAGAAACCUCAAUCAAGACAUGCUUGUAAAGCUGAAAGCUGUCUAUACACUUGUUGAACAGCUGUACACUGGGACUCAGCGUGCCCUGGCCACAAUUUCUCCAACUAAUCAAGCUCCUAGGCUUUUGAUAGAUGUCUUAAAAAAGCUCUCUGUGCUACCUGCCAGGAUCGAUGAGAUGAAGCGAUCAUCUGCAAGAGCCGGCGCUGUGACAGCCUUGAGCCGGGCUAAAGCAUGGGUACCGGAAUUAGAGCCGACUGAUGUAGCCACAGGAUAUACAAGCUUAAAAGAGGAUGGUACUCCUUUUGACAAAAAUGACUUUGCAGCCUGUGUGAAGGAAAUUCGUCCAAUGGCCACCCAGAUUGCAAAUGAUUCAGACAUUUCAAAGUACCAUGCGGCUUAUGACAAGCAAAAUCAGAAGAUGCCUACACCAGCUUACAGAGUGAUGGAUCUGAUCCCUCCAAUCUGUAAUCAUACUUUUGCCUCUGAAGUUGAACCGUCCAAUCUUAUAGAUGACGAAGCUGAAUUUCAAGCCUUAUCUGGCAUCGAUUAG